AUUGAACGCUGGCGGCAGGCCUAACACAUGCAAGUCGAACGAGUGGCGGACGGGUGAGUAAUGUCUGGGAAACUGCCUGAUGGAGGGGGAUAACUACUGGAAACGGUAGCUCAUACCGCAUACCAUCGGAUGUGCCCAGAUGGGCUUAGCGAGUAGGUGGGGUAAAGGCUCACCUAGGCGACGCUCCCUAGCUGGUAUGAGAGGAUGACCAGCCAAACUGGAAAGGAGACAAGGUGCCGACUCCGACGGGAGGCAGCAGUGGGGAAUAUGGCACAAUGGGCGCAAGCCUGAUGCAGCCAUGCCGCGUGUAUGAAGAAGGCCUUCGGGUUGUAAAGUACUUUCAGCGGGGAGGCGUUACCCGCAGAAGAAGCACCGGCUAACUCCGUGCCAGCAGGCGCGGUAAUAC
Molecule: ribosomal RNA, 406 nt
Filed under: uncultured bacterium
Lineage: Bacteria
Description: partial 16S ribosomal RNA
Rfam family: Bacterial small subunit ribosomal RNA
Source: RNAcentral